RNAcentral lists this long non-coding RNA (688 nucleotides) under Eucalyptus grandis. Its description in RNAcentral is "long non-coding RNA (EGRA_LNC004579)". The record is from RNAcentral. Lineage: Eukaryota; Viridiplantae; Streptophyta; Magnoliopsida; Myrtales; Myrtaceae.
GCAGCAUUGAAGGCGAGCAUGCCUCCGUGGAAGGGGGAAGAUUUGACGCCGGUUCAGGCACACCCAGGGCCGGUCGGCGUGGGAGAGCCGACGGCCGAACCUCCGUCGACGAAGGGACAACAACAGCGAACUCCAAGAUCUUCCCCUUGAGAGACUUUAAGGGGGAAAUCAAAGAGCGAGCGAAGGAUCGGGUCGCAAGCUAAACGACCUCCCACCGAGAGACAUUGGGGGAGGCCGGCGGCAAGCGAACCCAGAUCCGCGAGAAGGAGAGCACGGCGAAGUGAGGGACCUCCGGUAGCAAGCUUUGAAGACCUUUCCCGAGAGACUUCGGGGAAGGUUUGAAGGCAAGCCACCGGAGAUCUCAGAUCUGGCCGAAGAGGGAGAGAUCUGGUCGAAUCGGAGGGUCUGGUUCCGAGGGAGUCCCAAAUCCGCGAAGAAGAAGACUUGAGAAAGGUCAGAUCUGGAGGAGAGGGGGCUGACUGGGAGUGGACCGAACCCUUGCCGUCGUGUCGAGUCGCCCCGAGCCAGGCCGCCGCCGUCGCUGUGAUCGAGCACCAGCCCCAACGCCGUCGAACCGUGCUGCCACCCUCGCGUUUCGCCGCUGCUGUUUCUCCCGACACCGGCCACUGCUUCCCCGACGUAAACCUGUAGCUGUUCGAAGACUCGGCCGAAUCAAAGCCCUACAUCG